Molecule: ribosomal RNA, 433 nt
Filed under: uncultured bacterium
Lineage: Bacteria
Description: partial 16S ribosomal RNA
Rfam family: Bacterial small subunit ribosomal RNA
Source: RNAcentral
AACGAACGCUGGCGGCAGGCCUAACACAUGCAAGUCGAGCGAGGACUUCGGUCCUAGCGGCGGACGGGUGAGUAACGCGUGGGAACGUGCCCUUUGCUUCGGAAUAGCCCUGGGAAACUGGGAGUAAUACCGGAUGAGCCCUUUGGGGGAAAGAUUUAUCGGCGAAGGAUCGGCCCGCGUUGGAUUAGGUAGUUGGUGGGGUAAUGGCCUACCAAGCCGACGAUCCAUAGCUGGUUUGAGAGGAUGAUCAGCCACACUGGGACUGAGACACGGCCCAGACCCCUACGGGAGGCAGCAGUGGGGAAUCUUAGACAAUGGGGGAAACCCUGAUCUAGCCAUGCCGCGUGAGCGAUGAAGGCCUUAGGGUUGUAAAGCUCUUUCAGCUGGGAAGAUAAUGACGGUACCAGCAGAAGAAGCCCCGGCUAACUCCGUG